CCUACGGGGGGCAGCAGUGAGGAAUAUUGGUCAAUGGACGCAAGUCUGAACCAGCCAAGUAGCGUGCAGGAUGACGGCCCUCCGGGUUGUAAACUGCUUUUAGUUGGGAAUAAAAGGGGGCUCGUGAGCCCCGUAUUGUAUGUACUACCAGAAAAAGGACCGGCUAAUUCCGUGCCAGCAGCCGCGGUAAUACGGAAGGUCCGGGCGUUAUCCGGUUUUAUUGGGUUUAAAGGGAGCGUAGGCCGGCUUUUAAGUCAGAUGUGAAAGUCCGCGGCUCAACCGUGGAAUUGCAGUUGAAACUGGAGGCCUAGAGUGUACACAGGGAAGGCGGAAUGCAUGGUGUAGCGGUGAAAUGCUUAGAGAUCAUGAAGAACUCCGAUCGCGAAGGCAAGUGUCCGGGGUGCAACUGACGCUGAGGCUCGAAAGUGCGGGUAGCAAACAGGAUUAGAUACCCCUGUAGUC
This 462-nucleotide ribosomal RNA is filed under the name uncultured bacterium. RNAcentral describes it as "partial 16S ribosomal RNA". It matches the Rfam family "Bacterial small subunit ribosomal RNA", at positions 338 to 795 of the family's 1533-position model. The record is from RNAcentral.